Long non-coding RNA from Phalaenopsis equestris, 874 nucleotides. RefSeq lists it as uncharacterized. The transcript is spliced from 3 exons. The record is from RefSeq and is a predicted model, not a curated record. NCBI's taxonomy places the organism in Eukaryota, Viridiplantae, Streptophyta, Magnoliopsida, Asparagales, Orchidaceae.
ACAUAGUUAUCAUUCUAACAUAAUUCAUAUAAUUUUCCAUAAAUAAUUCUCUCGGCGCCCUAAGCACGAAACACACAUUCAGCGUAACUUCAAGCGCAAAGGCAGCGACUGCCUCUGGGACAUGUUCAGUGAUAUUCAGAAAUCUCGGCAGUGUCUCUUGCGGCUCGGAGAGGAUGUUUUUUCCGCACUGCUCGAGACUUGAGAUUCUCCAUAAUACAAAAAGAAAAGGGAGCAAGCGAAGCAAAACCAGCUCUAGCACCGCAGAUUGAUGAGAGUCUUCAAGCACUAGUGGGGUGCUCCCAUAAUGCAAGGGGGGCUGAUUGAAGAGUUGAGACGAGAGCCCUUCGUUGUUGAUGUACACGAGUGCACCCAUAGGAGGCAGUCAGACCAAUCAUGGAUUGAUAACAAAUCCCGGGCGACUUGGGAGAAAUUCCAACAGUGGAAGGGGAGCCAAUCCUAAACGUUGGGUAGUAUUACGAUCUGAGAUCGAAAUCCGUCCUAAUAUGACUCGUGUAGAGAGGUUGCUAGAGGGAAGAAGAAGGGUCGAGUCUGUGGGCUUAGGUCUCGGGAAUUUGCCUAUGAAACUUACUCCUCAACCAGUGCAUCCACAACAUCUACUUCUACCGCACAGGAGGAGGAGGUUUCUAAGCGUAUUGCUACAUUCGCUGCCAAGAUGGAGAUCCACUUCUAGUAGAUGAGGUUAGAGCUGGAGGCCAAUAUGGAGGUUAUUUUGAAGUGAAGCUAGAUGCAUUUUGGCAGUGGCCAAAACAGUGGAGGAAGCAACCAGUAGAUAAGGAGGACACUGAUAAUGAGGAGACUAAAGAGGAUUAGCGGAGACUUUUUUCAUUUUAUUUGUAUAUUAUUUUGUUAAACA